GCCUCGGUAAUUUAAAGGCUUAGGACGUUUGUACGAAAUUCAAGAAAUCCGGGUUCGACUCCCGGCCGAGAUA
Molecule: transfer RNA, 73 nt
Filed under: Acromyrmex echinatior (Panamanian leafcutter ant)
Lineage: Eukaryota; Metazoa; Arthropoda; Insecta; Hymenoptera; Formicidae
Rfam family: tRNA
About the family: Transfer RNA (tRNA) molecules are approximately 80 nucleotides in length. Their secondary structure includes four short double-helical elements and three loops (D, anti-codon, and T loops).
Source: Rfam by way of RNAcentral